UUCCCGAUUUAUCGGGACAAAGUGACAGGUGCUGCAUGGCUGUCGUCAGCUCGUGUCGUGAGAUGUUGGGUUAAGUCCCGCAACGAGCGCAACCCUUGUCUUUAGUUGCCAAUAUUAAGUUAGGCACUCUAAUGAUACUGCCCCGGUUAACGGGGAGGAAGGUGGGGAUGACGUCAAGUCCUCAUGGCCUUUAUACCCAGGGCUACACACGUGCUACAAUGGGCUAUACAAAGGGCUGCCACUCUGCAAAGAGGAGCUAAUCCCAAAAAGUAGUCCUAAGUUCGGAUUGGAGUCUGCAACUCGACUCCAUGAAGCUGGAAUCGCUAGUAAUCACGGGGACAACA
This 344-nucleotide ribosomal RNA is filed under the name uncultured delta proteobacterium. Its description in RNAcentral is "bacterial SSU rRNA". It matches the Rfam family "Bacterial small subunit ribosomal RNA", at positions 1014 to 1354 of the family's 1533-position model. Lineage: Bacteria; Deltaproteobacteria. The record is from RNAcentral.